CCCAGAGUGAAAACUGAAGCAGACUCCUGUCCCUUUAAUAGCUGUGCAGAAGAGGGGAAUUGCAGCAGGUGUUGCUUAACAUGCAGAAAUAUGGGAUUUGCUUGUGCAAAAAAUGAUGUUAGCUGCUUGGAGGAUGAAGCACAUCUAGCAGCAUUCAUAUGCUUCAUGGUUACAAGAGCAAGAGAUGGAAUCAACCCAUGAUAUAGGAUUAUUCGUUCCACCUCCAUCGCUGGAAAAAGGAAGUUUGCACACCAUAUUACUAGAUUCUAUUAUGGAGAUCACGAGUAUGAAUUUAUAGGACCUAAGCAAAAGAGGAUCUUGGAGAUGUCUCAUCUACAGGGUUGCUGUGAGUCUGAGUCAACUCAAGGGUGGUGAACAACCACAUAAUAAUUUUAAUUAUAUGUUAUAAUUAUAUGUAAUAAGUAUAAUUAUUUAUUUGCAUGCAAUUUACUCAUUACUUAUUCAUAUAGUUAUAAUUAGAUUUAAUAUUUCUGUAAAUAAACCAUAUGGAAUGAA
Molecule: long non-coding RNA, 516 nt
Organism: Sceloporus undulatus (fence lizard)
Lineage: Eukaryota; Metazoa; Chordata; Lepidosauria; Squamata; Phrynosomatidae
Exons: 3
Source: RefSeq, a predicted model, not a curated record